ACUUUACGCUUCUCCUUUUUCCCUUCACUCUUGCAUCUAAUUACUGAACCGACGGGAGUUUCACAAAAGACUCCAAAAGUCACUAUUCAAAUUAAAGCCCUAAUUAACUGCCAGGAAGAAAAAAAUGCCUUCUCCCAUAAACUUCUCUCUGGAUUGAAACAACUUACACGAGUUUCUCUGCAAUGCUCUAUACUUCCAAUGGAAACAGUUUUGAAUAAUGGACAAGAAGAAGUAUCUGAUUGGAUCGUAGCAUUACACAUUCUAUGAUGAGGUACGGCAAGGAACGAGUGCCUAAGUUCAUUGCGCUCUUUGUAUCCUCUGAAUGAGAUUGUUGUCAAAACGGGGCUUCGAGCGCGAUAGUUGCAAUUUGGUAAUAUUUCUCAAUUUCUUUUUCCUUAUUUUGUAAACUGCUUUAUCUAGAAGGUUAAGUUUUUUGUUAGAAAAGGGACAUACAUUUAUUUAUUUGAUAUAUGCAAGUAAAACUCUACGUGUUUGUGUA
This is a long non-coding RNA of Lycium ferocissimum, 499 nucleotides long. RefSeq lists it as uncharacterized. The transcript has 2 exons. The record is from RefSeq and is a predicted model, not a curated record. NCBI's taxonomy places the organism in Eukaryota, Viridiplantae, Streptophyta, Magnoliopsida, Solanales, Solanaceae.